AUGGAAAGAGUCAAGAGAUUGAUGAGUGUUACCUAUCGGAGACAUCCUGGUGCCGCAUUGAUUGCGAUAGCAACGAGAAAUCUAAAAAUAUGCUCAAGUAUGUGCUUUGUAUUCAAUUCCUCCUCUUAUUCGACUCCUUCUAUCUUCUUUUUCAUGCGAUUCCAUGUGUUUAUGUUGUUUUCGAUGUGA
Non-coding RNA from Vicia faba (fava bean), 189 nucleotides. The record is from the annotation of a GenBank genome assembly. NCBI's taxonomy places the organism in Eukaryota, Viridiplantae, Streptophyta, Magnoliopsida, Fabales, Fabaceae.